Molecule: long non-coding RNA, 4805 nt
Organism: Sus scrofa (pig)
Lineage: Eukaryota; Metazoa; Chordata; Mammalia; Artiodactyla; Suidae
Source: RefSeq, a predicted model, not a curated record
UAGGCUCAUUCGCAGAUGAGGAAACUGAGGAAUUAAACAAACGUCUCGGCAGAGAUUCCAGCACUUGGCCCCAGCACUAACUCCAAAUGACACCCUUACCCCCACGGCCACAAUGGGAGACCCGUGGCCGCAGCACGUGUACAUGUGUGCACGCAUGCACAUGCGCACACCCCACCCCGUAGGAGGAGCUGUGGGGCCGUGUUUUCAUCGUGGAAAGUCGUGGAGGGGCUCUGGCUGGCAGAGAGGUUUUAUGCUAGUUCUGCCUCCUGCUUGUUCUCCUCAAAGACCAAGCUGUUUCCAGACAGGCUUGGCCCCUGAGUGAGGCAGGUCUGGGAGCCCCAGGAAGACUUCACUCCGGUCCCCUAACGGGAGCCUCAGGGACCCCCAGGGGUUAAGGGGGCUGGCUCCCCCACGGCCCUCCUCGUAGACCCCUGCCCCAGGGGAGUCAGAGCCACAGUGAAAGAGCUCUUCACAACAGGAGAGGGCUGCUCUGCUCGGUGCUGAGAGCGCUGCUCACCCGAGCCACCCAGGGAGGAUGCAGAGAAGGGCCUCGAGGCUCCCCUAGGCGACCUGCCUCAGGGACAUUCUUAACCCCAGCCAAAGAGGGGGCACCCUUCAUAGCCUCCACCUCUGCAUUGGGGCCUCACAGCUGUUCCCAGCUAGAGGCUCUUACUGCCCCACCACCACCCACCAGUCAGCCCCCAGGGGACAUGGAGGCAGCUUUGAUGAAGCCUAUCAAAGGGUUCUUGUUCUUCCAGCAGUUUCCUGGGAGGGCAAGUGGAGCCACAAUAACCCCCACAUCUGUUCAAGGGGCUGAGGGCUGGGACUCCAGCCUCAGCUCUUCAGGAGGGCUCCUGCCCAUCAGCAGGGGGGAAAUGACUGACCACUCCAGCUGGAAGGCGGCACCCAUCCCCAUUUCACAGAUAGCAUAAAUGAGGCACCCCCUGCUCCCAAAGGGCUCCCCACACAAGGCCCACUUCCCCAGGAACUCUCUAGGCAGGCGCUGGCUCCUCUUCCUCUGGGUCAGGUUGCCUCCACUUACACAAGACACCACUGGCCCACAAAGGGGUGUGGGAGGCAUGUGGGGGGAAGUUGGUGUCUGGUCUGAGACGCCUGCACUGCCUCUUUCCCCUGCAUGAGCCACUACCUCUAUUUUGGCCAUUAUUUUAAUCCUUAAUCUGUGGAUUUGUUUAAAUCAAAGUUUCUCAACCAUGACAGUCUUGACAUUGGGGGCUGGAUAUUUCUUCGUUGUGGGGGCUGUCCUGGGCCCUGGAACAUGUUCAGCAGCAUCUCUCAUGUCUACUAGAUGCCAGCGAUGCCACCUCCCUCCUGUGACAACCAAAAUUAUCUCCAGCCAAAUGCUCCCUGGGGGCAAAACUGUGUCCAGCUGAGAAGCACUGAGGUAAAGGGAUCAUGUAUGGAUGGUGCAGGUAUUCCCUCCUGAGGCCUGGAGCUGCUGUCAAGGAGAUAGGACAAUAAAUGUACCCAGGACCCAGCAGUGUGUGCCAGGAGAUCCUGGAAAAGACUGAAUUUGGGCAAAUCAUUGAGGCUGGGAUCCACCCAGGAAGACUUCCUGGAAGAGGAGGAUUGCUAUCUGGUCCUUUUAUAAACUUUCCAGGAAGGAUGCAGUUUGGAAGGAAAGUUUCAAAGACAGUGAGCAGAGCUCAGGGUUGGGAGGUGAGUGGAGACUUUCCAGGGAGGGGGCAGGAGGGUGCUCACAGCUGGCUGGAUUUUAAUCUGGGGUGUUAAGGCUGCCUUCCUCCAGAGCAAGUCCUGGAGCCAGGAGCCAGAAAGAUACUGGGGAUGAGUGGGAAGGAAGACAGUGGGGUGGGGGUGGGGGGAGCUCCUGGGGGUGGCAGAGAGGGUUCUUAGGGGUGGUUGUUCCCUGAAUCCCCAGCACCCAGCACAGAAUCAGGCUGAGGAAAUGCUGAGAUGAUGAAGCUGUGGCUCAUGGGAGACAAGUCCUGACAAGGAGAAGGUGGGCCUGGGCUCUGGAGGGCUGAGAGGACCAUCGCCACGUGGCGAGGGUGCUGUUGAGGGGGCCCAGCCUGAUUUCUCAGCAUCUGCCCACACCUCAUGUCUCCCCCAUGGUCCCUGCAGAGCAGAGGUGGGGGGAGUGGGAGGUGGCCCUAAUCAAGGGGUAGCUGCUAGGCUUGGAGCACACCACCCAGCUUCCUGCCAGGCUACAGAUCUUUCUCUCUGGAAGAGAUUUCAGCAGGUUCACGAGAGGAAAAUGCUGGACCCCUUAGCCUAGGAAGCCCCCUUCUCAGAUAGAAACCCUGGCUCCCACCCCUAAUCUGGGCUUCCGGAGCCAUGGGUGCACAUUUACCUCAGACUCAGCUCCCUAAGGGCAGAGGCAACACCUUCCCAGUGGUCACUGAAGGGAAAGAAGCUUGGGGCUGGUGCUGCCCACAGGGAGCUUCUGGGUGACCUGCCAGCAGGGGGCACUGUGGACUCAGGCACAGGACUUGGGCCGCUAGAAGGGUGGAGACUGGACGGGCCUCCCUCACUUCUUGUUUAUCGCCUUAUAGCCUUCACCCCAGCCAGGCUUGCCUGCCUUGGACCUGGCAAGGUCUCCACCUCCCAUCCUGACCCCAUUUUCGCCUCUCCUCUGGACGAAGGAGAAGGAAUUUUUAUGCCCAUUAUGCAGAUGAGGAGACUGAAUCAUACAGAUGCAAAAAAGACCAGAAGGGACAGCCACGUGGCAGAAAGGAUAGAGUCUUGGCUUUGGAGCCAGAACGCCUGGGUUUGCCAGCACGCUGGUUCAGCACCUCACUCCCUGUGUGGUUGGGGGCACACUUUGGGGCCUUAUUGAGCAAACCACUGCAGUGGCCAUAAGGGAGAUGAGCGUGGCAGCCCACACUACUCGCAAGCUGAAAACAGUUCUGACACUGGCUGUCACAGCCCCAUGUGACAGCACUGGGUCCUGGGAGACAAGGAAGCCUAGCCCAUGCCCCUAUCUAGGUGGCGAGAGCAGGCAGCCAGAAAGGGGAUGCACUGAGAGCCCUGAAUAAGGGCAGAGGGGGCGAAGGGGCCGCGUUACUUGUGCCAGAGAGUCUCAGGAGCGGAAGGGCUGAGGUGUCAGCUGCGCUGACUUAUCUGCACUUUCUCCCAGGUCUUAGUAAUUAAUAACAAGAGUGGAAACCAUGAGAGCUAUUUGCUACCCUCUCAUGCUGUGCCAGGCUCUGUGCCAAGCACUUGACUGGCUCAAUUACCCAUCCUGGGAAGUAGGUAGUGAUACUACCCCAUUUGAUAGACAAGAACACGAAUGCUCAGAGAGAAAGUAACUCGUCUGAGGUCCCCUAGCAGGGAAGGGGCAAAACUGGAUCCCACGCUUUUGGUGGGCUGGGGGACCGGGUAGAGAGAGGAUGAAGGCUGAGGUUAUGUCUUGGGGACGCACCACAGGGCAGUUCAAACUCAGCAUAGAAUGGACAGAGUGGAGCGGGGCGCUGAGGAAGGAGUGACCCACCUAAGACAUCCAGUCGGAGGCCUGCCUCCUGGAGGAGGGGGACGCUCUGCAGGCUGACGGGAAGGGAAGGGCUGUCCCAGCAGCCUGAGUGGACGUAAGGAAGCCAUUCUAGCCUGGCCGUCUCCAGCAGGCCCGCGGGCUGUUCCCGUCCUGCAGUGCUGCGACAUGAGGGCAGAGAGGCAGGCGGGAGCCACCUGGAGGGGCGGGUGCCAUCACAUCAGCUGUUUGGAGGACGGCCCAGGAGAUCCAGUUGGUUCUCCUGGCCUUUCUUAAGAGAUGAGGCUCUCAACUAUUACAAAAACUGGGGGGCAGGAGGCAUGGGGAAGAGGGGAUGAAGACUCAAGAUACCAGUGUUAGAAUCCGCCAGAUGAGAUGGCUCAUCAGAUGAGGUGGACAGAAGGCUGUGGUCAAGGAUGACUCAGCCUCUGGCUUCAGGGGUGGGGAGUCUUACCACAAACUAAGAUCUUAGCACCCAAGAGAAGGAAGGGACUCGUGAGAGAAAGAUAGCAGGUUCCGUCUGGGAUAAAGGCGUUUGAGGAUGCGCCAGGCUGCAGGCUGCAGUGCCGAGAAGGAAAGGAUGGAGGCGGUGGUGAUGUCAACCAGGGAAUUAAGUGAGCAGAAGCGCUGAUAACAUCUCCCAGCAAGGCCCGCUGUGGGCAAGGUGACUCAUCGAAGCCGGGCCCCACCACCACAGGCUGAUUGUUGUUGUGCCCAGCCUGUGGGGCUGGGGAGGGGGGGAGGCCGAGACCGGUCGCUCAGCCAGCCCUCUGCUCAGUGGAGACGUCUCGGAACACAGUGUCCUCCGCCUCCAGAGCUGCCUCAGGAAACAGCCCUCCCUCCCGCUGUCUCGAUUAUCUUCGUCCACCGCGUUCGGUGUUUGUGGGGUGUGUCAAGGUGGUUUCCCCACCCGCGUCCCGCUGGGCACUCCAGGCACCAGAGAUUGCUAACAGCAUAACAGUUGCUCCCCCUGGUUGGACCACUGUCUGUGGUGACAACGCCACCGGAUGGCAAACUGCUAACCACGACCACGUGGCGUCCUCGUGGAAGGUACAGCCUGUUCCUCCAGCUGCAGGCACCUGCAGAGCUGCCUCUGCUCAUCCCCGCCGAGGGGCCCAAGACUGUCGGGUUCUUCCCCAUCCCCUGGGGCGCCAGGUACUGCUGUAUGAGUUGAGAACUGUACAACUGGCGGGGGCGGGGACCACUCACUUUAUGGUCUGUGUACCAGACCACAUGGCUGUACGUGGCCUCUUCCCUUUUCUAAAUUAUUGCUCAUUCCCCUCCUCCACCUAGAAGGAUCUAUUUAGCUUGCCAUUAAGAAGUUUGUCUUCACACCAAA